UCAUAUGCUUGUCCCAAAGCUUAAGCCAUGCAAGUGUGAGAUCAAUAGUUAAAACUGCUAAAAUCUGCGAGAGGCUCCGUAUAUCUGUUAUAACCCACCACUAUCGAUAGCCGCGACGGAAUACCCUCGGUAAUUCUGCGGCUAAUACGACUAAUGAAACGAUAGUGGGUCUCCCCGCUCGGUGCCUUAUAAAAAACAGGGCAAAGGGGGGGGGUCGGCUGACCCUCGGUCUUGCGGCCUGAUCAACGCCCCACAUCCGGAGUCACCGGAGGGGACCGCGUGAAGGCCCGCAAGAGCACCUAGACCGGAAUAUCCCGGUUUAGGUGAAGGGAGUCAGACCUAUCAACUAGAGGGUUCGAGCGGGGCUCGCCCUGGUUAUAACGGGUACAGAGGAUCAGGGUUCGGUCCUGGAGAGGUAGCCUUAGAAAUCGCUACUACUUCUAAGGAAGGCAGCAGGCGCGCAACGUUCCCAAUGGGCACGCCCCUGAGGACGUGACGGGACAUAGCAAUACUGGACCCUAAUGGGUUCGGUAAUUGAAAUGGGGGGCCUUUAAAGCCCACCCCGAGUAACAAUUGGAG
Molecule: ribosomal RNA, 579 nt
Filed under: Arcyria ferruginea
Lineage: Eukaryota; Evosea; Eumycetozoa; Trichiida; Trichiidae
Description: SSU rRNA
Rfam family: Eukaryotic small subunit ribosomal RNA
Source: RNAcentral